Molecule: RNA transcript, 3632 nt
Organism: Phacochoerus africanus (Common warthog)
Lineage: Eukaryota; Metazoa; Chordata; Mammalia; Artiodactyla; Suidae
Gene: MSS51
Gene name: MSS51 mitochondrial translational activator
Exons: 6
Source: RefSeq, a predicted model, not a curated record
AGAAAUGGCAAAAAGAAAAAAUAAAUAAAUAAAGUUACUAUGUACUUUUUUUACCUUAAAGAUUCUUCUGGAUGUUAUUGGUUUAUAAAAACUCUGCAUCUCUAAGUUAAAAGCUUAACUGAGGUAUCAGGUACCAGGAACUUUGUUAGCCCUUAGGUCCAUCAGUAGGGUUAUGUAGUGUUUAUGGGAAUCAUGGGUAAACAUAAAGCAUCAUUAGCAAACUAGAGGAAUUAUAGGUUAAUGGUAAAAAUUAAAAAGGAGAAAAUAAGAAGUAAUGGAACUCAAGGAAGUAUACAUAAGAGUGGUUGAAUCAUCACCAAGUGCCUCACAGAUCCCUUCCUGCUUGUUGAAUAGGAACCUCUUUCCAGUCUGUCUUCUCAAUAGUUUCACAACAAACCAUAAAAGUAUUUUUAAAGUUUUUUUUAAGAAAUGUAACUCAUGAUGAAUGCAAAUUGUGAAAAGUUCAGAUCUUUCUAAAUUGUAAAUUUAAAUGUCUACCAGACCAGGUAGUAAUGAUGGUAAAAUGUAUGUUACUAUUCAAUAUAAAUUUUUUUCUAUGUAUCAUCUCCCUUUGCAUUCAAAGAUGACACAUCUGACUAAGAAAAGGCAUUCUCUGACUUCCUUUACCUUUUGCGGUUCAGCCGUUUUUAACAGACCUCAUAACCUUUAAAUGUUCUGCUUGUUAAAUUUGUUGAUUAAAUUGAAUUGCCCCUAUUUUAUUCAGGACUUUUGCAUAUUAUGACUGAUUUUCCCUUGUCCACAGCUGAUCUACGUAAUGUUAUGUGAUGUUUUGUUGCAUACUUAACACUUUUCUUCCACCUUCCCUGCCUAUAGUUUAUGCUUUCUACAGUUUGAGAUUCCUUUGGAGUCCAUUCUCUGCAUCUUUUCAUAUAUAGAUUUACUUGUCACAGUCCAGGACCUCACUGCAAGUGGUUUUCUUCCCCAGUUUGAUGAUGUUCACAGAGGCAGGUAAGUGACAUAGCUGGGGCUGGAUGUAAACAGAAUAAGAUCUUACAUUUAUAUAGGACCACUUCACUAACUUCUGCUAAGUUCUGGAGUUUGAUAGCUCCAAGGGAAAAGGAGCUAGGAAUGUGGAAUUAAAUUCCCUGGAUUAGCAUCCAUGACAGGAAGGAAUGAGAUGUUUGAGUUGAUUCUUUUUUUGUUUUCUGUUCGUAGAAAUAAUGUGCAUUUUUAGUCAUUAACAUUUUGGUCUUGCUUACUUUCAUAUUCCAGAAAAUUUUAUACCUCUUUUAAAAUAAAUUGGUGGAAUGCCCUUGAUGAUAUUUACCCAGAAAGUACCUUGUUCUCCUUUCAGGGAAAUUGAAUUUUACAAAUUACUUCUGGAUGUUUCGUCUAUUAAUUGAUUUCCUUCUGCACCAUGAAAUGACUGUUUCUUCUCCUUUUUUUUUUUUUUUUUCUUUUUAGGGCCAACCUAUGGCAUAUGAAAGUUCCCAGGUUAGGGGUUGAAUCACAGCCACACCUACUGGCCCACACCUUCUGGUCACAGCAGUGCUGGAUCCGAGCUGUAUCUGUGACCUAUGCAGCAGCUUGCAGCAAUGCCAGAUCCUUUACCCACUGGGUGAGGCUAGGGAUUGAACCCGCAUCCUCGUGGACACUACGUCGGGUUCUUAACUUGCUGAGCCACAGUGGGAACUCUGAAAUGACCGUUUCUAUUCUCCUUUUCUGAGUAUUACAUUUGUACUUAAGCCUGCACUGGUCAUUGUGAGUUGUUGAAUUAGUUUGUUUCGCUAAAAAGGACUUUUGGCAUGGGAGAACUAAUCCUGAGUUGAGAAUGACAUCUAGACCUCCAAGCGUUCCUGUUUCUCUGGGCUAGUGCUUAACCCUUUCUAAUCAAAUAUUGACUUCUGAACUAAUCCCAAGGGUUUUUUCCUGACGUUAAUGGACUGAGAGCAGAAAUGCUGCCUUAGUGAGAGAAAUCCAAGAAGCAGUCGGUUUCGUCUUUCCUCAGUCUGCCUGGCCUCUGGUGAGUUUGGGAGUGUUGACAAGUUCUGAGCCUUAUUGGCAAAGAAGGAAGGUCAGAAAGAGAGAAGUCCUUGGGCAGGGGGCCAGGUUCUUACUUUCCUCAUUAGGGUGAAUUCAGUCUUGUCUGUCUGCUUGGCAGGGCACACCUUAUCACGGAGACCCAGCAUUUCAGCAGUUUGCGAAGGAAAGUGAUAUGAAGGGACAGCUGCAGGUUAGCCACAAGCUAGAUCUGAAGAGAUCAAGCAUUUAUUUCACUUGGAAGAAAGAGAGAAGGAAGGAAGCUGAGGGCUUAGCAGGUCUCCAGGUAUUGUUGGACAGGCCAUGGCUCCACGGUCCCGGCGACGAAGGCACAAGAAACCCCCUUCAUCAGUGGCUCCCGUGGUUGUGACCCCACCUGCCAUUGUGACCCCUAUGCCUCUGGCCCGCUCAAAACCUGGCCCUAGCAUUGAUACGCUUGGCUUCUUCUCCUUGGAGAAUAAUGUUCCUGGCCUAUCCCAUCUGAUCCUUCAAAAGCUGAACAUGAAAAGCUAUGAAGAAUACAAGUUGGUGCUAGAUGGGGGUACUCCUGUAUCAGGCUUCGGAUAUCGCUGCCUUCAAGAAAUGUUCCAGAAGAUGGAGGACACAUUCCGAUUCUGUGCCCACUGUAGAGCACUCCCUAGUGGCCUCUCAGACUCCAGGGUCCUCCGGCACUGCAAGAGUUGCAGAAAUGUCUAUUACUGUGGUCCAGAAUGCCAGAGGUCAGACUGGCCAGCGCACAGGAAGGUUUGUCAAGAGCUGCGUCUUGUCGCUGUGGACCGUUUCAUGGAAUGGCUUCUGGUCACAGGUGAUUUUGUCCCACCCUCAGGACCUUGGUCACAGCCGACUGAAGUUGUCCAGGGCUGGGACACCUGGUUUUCUAUGCGAUGUUUGCAGCUAGAUGCCACACUGGAUGCUGUGCUUAGUAGUCAGGCCAUGACCACCUUGUGGGCCAAUGUCGGACGGCCAAGGCCAGACCCAGAUGUCCUGCAGGGCUCUUUGAAGCGGUUGCUGACAGAUGCCUUGUCCCGGCCCUUGACACUGGGCUUUGGGCUUCAGGCCUUGGGGAUAAACGUUGGGAAGGUCGGGGGAAGCACAGUGCAUGUGAUUGGCGCUUCCCAUGCAGAGACAUUCCUCACUCGCCCCGGGGACUAUGAUGAGCUUGGCUACAUGUUUCCUGGGCACCUUGGCUUCCACAUAAUCAUGGUGGGUGUGGAUGUAGCUGCUGACUUUUCACAGAGCCCCUCCGCUUCACUCCCAGAACCUGGCACAAUUCAGCUUAGUAGCCACAGGGGCCUCUAUCAUGACUUCUGGGAGGAGCAGGUAGAGACUGGAAAGAUACCUCAUCCAGAUUUGGUGGUGGCAUUCCAUCCAGGUAAGAGUCAUUGGGUCAGGGGAAUCCAGGGCAAUUUUUGGGAAUUUUCCACCCUGACUCUUGUACCUUCGAAACCCCAUUCAUUUGUUCAGGUUAAACAUAAUGUAAUGAAGACCUUGGUUGAUCAUUAGCUGUAUGUGCUACAUCUGAUUUCGUAAUUUUCCAUUGAAGAACCUGGGGUGGGUAAUGGUGGUUUCCAUGCUUCUGCGGACUUGAUGGAGGCUUGGCUGCCCACUCUCCUGCUACUUCGUGAUUAUGA